RNAcentral lists this ribosomal RNA (306 nucleotides) under Blastocystis sp. subtype 10. RNAcentral's name for it is "bacterial SSU rRNA". It matches the Rfam family "Eukaryotic small subunit ribosomal RNA", at positions 57 to 371 of the family's 1831-position model. Lineage: Eukaryota; Bigyra; Opalinata; Blastocystidae. The record is from RNAcentral.
CUUGGGUUAAUCGUUCAGCCGUGUAGUUAAAUAGUUUAAUUUGAAAAUGCCAACCGCCCCUUAUAUCAGUUAUAGUUUAUAGUAUGCCUUAUUGGUAAACCGUAGUAAUUCUAGAGAAAAAAAUGGGGAGAAAAGGCUGUAGACUGCAUUUAUUAAAAUGAAAACCAUAGGUUUCGGCCUAUUCGUGAGUAAUAAUAACUAAUCAUAUCGUAUGCUUAUGUAACGAUGUGUCUUUCAAGUUUCUGCCCUAUCAGCUUUCGAUGGUAGGGAUUGGACUACCCUGGCAGUAACGGGUAACGAAGAAAA